CCUACGGGAGGCAGCAGUGGGGAAUAUUGCACAAUGGGGGAAACCCUGAUGCAGCGACGCCGCGUGAAGGAAGAAGUAUUUCGGUAUGUAAACCUCUAUCAGCAGGGAAGAAAAUGACGGUACCUGACUAAGAAGCCCCGGCUAACUACGUGCCAGCAGCCGCGGUAAUACGUAGGGGGCAAGCGUUAUCCGGAUUUACUGGGUGUAAAGGGAGCGUAGGCGGCGAUGCAAGUCAGAAGUGAAAGCCCGGGGCUCAACCCCGGGACUGCUUUUGAAACUGUGUUGCUAGAGUGCAGGAGAGGUAAGUGGAAUUCCUAGUGUAGCGGUGAAAUGCGUAGAUAUUAGGAGGAACACCAGUGGCGAAGGCGGCUUACUGGACUGUAAAUGACGCUGAGGCUCGAAAGCGUGGGGAGCAAACAGGAUUAGAUACCCUAGUAGUC
This 440-nucleotide ribosomal RNA is filed under the name uncultured bacterium. RNAcentral describes it as "partial 16S ribosomal RNA". It matches the Rfam family "Bacterial small subunit ribosomal RNA", at positions 338 to 795 of the family's 1533-position model. The record is from RNAcentral.